Molecule: ribosomal RNA, 427 nt
Filed under: uncultured bacterium
Lineage: Bacteria
Description: bacterial SSU rRNA
Rfam family: Bacterial small subunit ribosomal RNA
Source: RNAcentral
UGGGGAAUUUUGGACAAUGGACGCAAGUCUGAUCCAGCCAUGCCGCGUGCGGGAAGAAGGCCUUCGGGUUGUAAACCGCUUUUGUCAGGGAAGAAACGAGUUUCUCUAACACAGAGACUUAAUGACGGUACCUGAAGAAUAAGCACCGGCUAACUACGUGCCAGCAGCCGCGGUAAUACGUAGGGUGCAAGCGUUAAUCGGAAUUACUGGGCGUAAAGCGUGCGCAGGCGGUUAUGCAAGACAGAGGGGAAAUCCCCGGGCUCAACCUGGGAACUGCCUUGGUGACUGCAUAGCUAGAGUACGGUAGAGGGGGAUGGAAUUCCGCGUGUAGCGGUGAAAUGCGUAGAUAUGCGGAGGAACACCGAUGGCGAAGGCAAUCCCCUGGACCUGUACUGACGCUCAUGCACGAAAGCGUGGGGAGCGAACA